Sapajus apella (tufted capuchin) is the source of this 99-nucleotide long non-coding RNA. RefSeq lists it as uncharacterized. NCBI's taxonomy places the organism in Eukaryota, Metazoa, Chordata, Mammalia, Primates, Cebidae. The transcript has 3 exons. The record is from RefSeq and is a predicted model, not a curated record.
UGGGCAACAUGGCUGUGACAGAGCUCUCCAAUCCCUCCCUCCACUUGGCCCCAUGACACCUUUUCUUCUGUGACACUUUAUAUCUGCAUGUUCCUUCCC